GGGGCGAUAGCUCAGUUGGGAGUAGCGUACGACUGAAGUUCGUAAGGUCGCCGGUUCAAUCCCGGCUCGCCCCA
Transfer RNA from Penicillium coprophilum, 74 nucleotides. It matches the Rfam family "tRNA". Rfam says of the family: Transfer RNA (tRNA) molecules are approximately 80 nucleotides in length. Their secondary structure includes four short double-helical elements and three loops (D, anti-codon, and T loops). The record is from Rfam. Lineage: Eukaryota; Fungi; Ascomycota; Eurotiomycetes; Eurotiales; Aspergillaceae.